Solea solea (common sole) is the source of this 4291-nucleotide RNA transcript. It is a transcript of the gene named 6-phosphofructo-2-kinase/fructose-2,6-biphosphatase 2b, with no coding region annotated. Lineage: Eukaryota; Metazoa; Chordata; Actinopteri; Pleuronectiformes; Soleidae. The record is from RefSeq and is a predicted model, not a curated record. The transcript has 16 exons.
CUCUGGAACUAAAGUUGUAAAUGCUGACUCAGUAUUUCCAACUAAUUAAAUCUGCUGGCUGCAUUGAUCGGCCCUCGCAUUCCUGUGUGUGUCAGGUGUAGACAUUGGAUGAGGGCCGUUGUUGCUGCCACACAACAUAAGAAACUGGACAAACAAGGAAAACAAGAUUGUCUACCUUUGAACUGGUUUGCCAUGGCUACUGUGGGAGGGAAUCUUCAUUCAUCUUCUGCCUCUGAUCUGUAAAGUAGAUGCACGGUGUCUGUCUCCAUUCGUUUUCAAAAGGUGGAAGAUAAAUAUUUCAAAUGUAAAAAUAGCAGAAAACGUUUGUGUGUGUGUGUGGUUGGUAACCAACACUGUAAACUCUUUUGAGUGUUACUGUAAAGUAGAAAGUGCAGUUGUCUUUGAUCCUCCACCAUAUGCACAUCAAAGUCAAAUGAAUGAUAAAAACACUCAAAAAAGAAGCUGUCAACACAAGAACAUUUCUGGCUCACCUCCACAAAAGGUGACUUGCACUGCGGUCUAUUAAAGCCUUGACGAAAAAUCCUGCUGCACAUCUGUUACCAACGUUAUGGUAACCAGGGGGAGGAGGUGGGUGAAGCUGACGCAGAAGCACACCUCCGGCUCGGAAGGACACAAACCGGCUGAGGAGACAUUAAAGCGCCAAGGACAGGCCGAACACACUGGCCUUUGCGUCCUCUACAUUGGACAUAAAUUCUCGGUGAAUGUGACAGAAGAUCCUUGUAGCGACAGUGGUUAACGGCAUACAGGCGCCUCUGUCCGGCUGAGCAUCUGCUUAUACCAAUAAGCUCGGAUAAAAGAUAUGGAGGUCGAGUUUCAAACUGACUCUGAAGUAGAUUUCAGCAUGUCAAACUCUCAGACUGACAAUGGCUCUACAAACUCGGCAGAAACCAAGAAAAUGGACCAGAGGACAAGUGAGAAGAAGUGCUCGUGGGCCUCCCACAUGACUAAUUCUCCAACCAUGAUUGUAAUGAUCGGCCUGCCUGCAAGAGGGAAGACCUACAUGUCAAAGAAACUCACACGGUACCUCAACUGGAUCGGAGUCCCGACGAAAGUGUUUAACUUGGGCGUGUACCGCAGGGGGGCCGUCAGAGCUUAUAAAUCCUACGAUUUCUUCCGUCACGACAACGAAGAGGCCAUGAAAAUCAGGAAACAGUGUGCUCUGGUAGCACUUCAGGACGUGAAAGCUUACCUGACGGAGGAGGGAGGUCAGAUCGCGGUUUUUGACGCAACAAACACAACAAGAGAAAGACGAGACCUCAUUCAAGCCUUUGUGAAGGAAAAUGCAUUCAAGGUUUUCUUUGUGGAGUCAGUGUGUGAUGACCCAGACGUCAUUGCUGCUAAUAUUCUGGAAGUGAAGGUUUCCAGCCCUGACUACCCUGAGACACACAGAGAGAGAGUAAUGGAUGACUUUCUGAAACGAAUCGAGUGCUACAAGGUCACAUAUCAACCAUUAGAUUCCGAUGACUAUGACAAGGACAUGUCUUUUAUCAAAGUGAUAAAUGUGGGUCGACGUUUUCUGGUGAAUCGGGUGCAGGACUACAUACAGAGUAAGAUUGUCUACUACCUCAUGAACAUCCACGUGCACUCUCACUCCAUCUACGUGUGUCGGCAUGGAGAGAGCAACCACAACAUCUCAGGCCAAAUCGGGGGAGAUUCCGAACUCUCUCCCCGAGGGAAACAGUAUGCCCAUGCACUGCGAGAUUUCAUUGAAGAGCACAAACUGUCAGAUUUGAAAGUGUGGACGAGCCAACUGAGGAGUUCCAUCCAGACGGCAGAGGAGCUUGGGGUUCCUUAUGAACAGUGGAAGAUACUCGAUGAGAUUGAUGCGGGAGUGUGUGAGGAGAUGACCUAUGAGCUAAUCCAGAAAACUUUCCCUGAAGAGUUUGCUUUGAGGGACCAGGACAAGUACCAUUAUCGCUACCCAGGAGGAGAGUCCUACCAGGAUCUUGUUCAGCGUCUGGAGCCUGUUAUCAUGGAGCUGGAGAGACAGGGCAAUGUGUUGGUUAUCUGCCACCAGGCUGUGAUGCGCUGUUUGCUGGCUUACUUUCUGGACAAAAGUGCAGAAGAUCUGCCAUACAUGAGAUGUCCGCUGCACACAGUGCUCAAGCUUACCCCUGUUGCAUACGGUUGUAAGGUGGAAAAGUUUUAUCUUAAUGUGGAGGCUGUAAACACGCACCGCGACCGGCAUAUUGCUAAAAUUCCAUGGGACUCUGCUCCCAUGCUUCGGAGGAAUAGUUACACUCCCCUGGCCAGUCAUGACCAGCUCAGGCGUCCCAGGCUCUACAGUGCGGGUAACCCCCCUUGGCUACCGCUUGCCCACACCACAGCAGGUCUGAUGCCAGAGGAACGGCUAAGCCAAGUUAGUAAAAGAGUCACAGGCUCCCCCUUUAAAUUAGCCACCAUCAACUCUAAUCAGUUACCUCCCACCACGGUAGUAACACUGUGUCUGGCAUUCCCUCGCCUCAGUCUUGGAUCUUCUUGAUGAUUAAGUGUCUUGUGUUGAACCUGACGUCCAUGGAACUCAUCUCUGUCUGUCUGUCUCUGUCGUCGUGGGCAUGUGUUAUAGUUUGAAGUAGUUGCUUGUUUCUCUUAAUAUUAUGACUGUCAGGUGUUUGUCUUGCAUGACCUCUGCUUCACCACUGGUCUGCCUCCAGCUUGAAUAUUGCAGAAUAGCAUGUGUCUCUCUCUCAUUCCCUGAGCGAAGCUCCCAGUAUGUUAGCCUUAAAAGUUAAUGAUGGAAUAUAAAAGACACACAGACAUUUAAGUGAUAUUUAAAGGUCCACUGUGUAACAUUUAGUUGGGUUUAUUGUCAGAAAUUGAAUGUUGUAUGUUUCUAUAAGUGCAUAAUCUUGUUUGGUUUCUGUAGCCUUAGAGUAAGCCUUAUAUACUGUAGGCGAGGACCAAACUUUAGAGAGGCCGCCAUCUUGCUCUGUCAUGUUCCUGCAGCAGCCUAAAUGGACACGUUUCACUUUUUGAGGUGGGAGCUUACCACGCAAAUGUAGCAGCAGAGACAGUGGAAGAGUAAAAAGUGUUUACAUGCUUUAGGUCAUGUGAAGGCCACCAGAGUUCCCUGAUGGGCUUGGGAAAUUGAGGAGUGAGCAGUGUAGUCUUCCAUUUGUUGCAUUCUGCAGUCUCUCCAUUACAUGUCACUAAUUCUUACACACUGGACCUUCAAGGAAAAUAAAUACAUAAUGUCAGAUUUGAAACCAACCAAAAAGUGUUAAAAAUUGAAAAGUGCAUAUUUGUUGGCCUUGCCUUGUGGGCAUAGUGCUUCAGCCCAUCUCCGCAUUUCUAUCUCUUUCUCUCCACUUUCUCCAAACCUCUCUUAUAGCCGCGGAUAGGAAGCAGAUGUCUGAGUCCCUGUGCGAAGGAAUCGACUUUGACAGCCCAGAAGAAACUAGUGGCUAUGUCUGCUUCUGAGUGAAGAUGAGAACCUCUUUCGUCUUUGUGCAAUCGAUGUUGGUAGACAUUCUGGGUACAAUCAUCAAUCAAACAAUAGAAAUGAGGCAACACGGAAACAAAAUCCCCUUUGUUCCCGUUUAUCUCAAGCUCCUGUUUGUAUUGCAUGUUGAAGCUUUGAAGUGGAGUCUUUAUCUUUAGUGUCAUAAACUCUUCCGCAUGUGAGCGACAAGAAAUCAAUCAACUGACAAAACUAAUCCUCAUUGUGUUGUAAACAAUAUAAAGGCUUGCUUACUAUUAAAUAUAUUGGAUAGUUACUCUGUAUGCCUCUGAAUAUGCCAGGGAUAAGUUAUACAUCAUUAUUAUCAUUAGUAGUAGUAGUAUUGAGUAUUAAAAGUAUUAAAAUACAUUUUUACUCUUGCAGACAGACUAUGUUAUAAAGUUGAUGCUGAAAAAUAUUAAAUAAGUUUUUAUAUUGUAAAAUGGCCACCAUCUGUCAUCAUAUAUUUUUAGAUUUAAGACACAACAGAUAUGAAAGAGAUUAUAGAAAAUGGUGUUGAAUCUCAUCCUUCUGUUAUGGGAGCCUUUUUGUAUGAUGUAAAAAAAUUUAAAAAUGUUUUAAAAAAGCACACCACAUUGCUGGACACAUUGUCCACAGCAGUAGGUGACAGAUGCAACAGAUGCUUUCCUGUCACACGCACAAGUUGUUCAAAAAGCUAAUUUAAUUGCUAACUUUAAAUAUUGAGCUGGUGUUAGCAUUGAAUUCAUGCCAAAAGGGGAUUUUGUGUAACCAGAAUUAAACAUGCAUGUUGGAUAUUUCUUGAUACUUUUGUUGAAACUGGUUCAUGCAAAUGUAUCUUUUGUCAAUCAA